GAGUUUGAUCCUGGCUCAGGAUGAACGCUAGCGAUAGGCUUAACACAUGCAAGUCGAGGGGCAGCAUAAUUUUAGCUUGCUAAGAUUGAUGGCGACCGGCGCACGGGUGCGUAACGCGUAUGCAACCUGCCUGUAAUUAGGGGAUAGCUCGGUGAAAGUCGAAUUAAUACCCUAUAUUCUGUAUUUUUCGCAUGAUUGAUAUAGGAAAGAUUUAUUGAUUACAGAUGGGCAUGCGUUCCAUUAGCUUGUUGGUAAGGUAACGGCUUACCAAGGCAACGAUGGAUAGGGGGACUGAGAGGUUGACCCCCCACACUGGUACUGAGACACGGACCAGACUCCUACGGGAGGCAGCAGUGAGGAAUAUUGGUCAAUGGGCGCAAGCCUGAACCAGCCAAGUCGCGUGAAGGACGACGGUCCUAUGGAUUGUAAACUUCUUUUGUAGAGGAAUAAUGAUGGUUCAUCGAGUGGCUGAGGGGGAAUG
This 481-nucleotide ribosomal RNA is filed under the name Porphyromonas gingivicanis. RNAcentral describes it as "bacterial SSU rRNA". It matches the Rfam family "Bacterial small subunit ribosomal RNA", at positions 9 to 477 of the family's 1533-position model. The record is from RNAcentral. Lineage: Bacteria; Pseudomonadati; Bacteroidota; Bacteroidia; Bacteroidales; Porphyromonadaceae.